RNAcentral lists this unclassified non-coding RNA (309 nucleotides) under Hevea brasiliensis (rubber tree). The record is from RNAcentral. Lineage: Eukaryota; Viridiplantae; Streptophyta; Magnoliopsida; Malpighiales; Euphorbiaceae.
GUUGUAUGUGUCAAAAAACUUUUGAAGGUUUAUUUAGAUGAGGCGUAGAGCUUUUGGCAGGAAAAGAGAAACUCAGAAAGUAAUGUACUGUGUGGUUUUUGCUUUAAUUUGAAGGCUUUGAGGAAUGUUCACAUACUAAAGAAUCAGAGUUUUUCUUUGCAAUUGUUGUGGGAAAAUAGUGUUUCUGGUUGCUUUAUGGAUUUAUGCUUCAGGAAGUAUUACAGAAGUGUCUUUAGGUAAUAUUUAAUGCAUUUGGAGGGCAUUGGUUUCUUUAGUUUAGUUUUUCUGGCGUAGUUUUCUGGUUUCGUU